Molecule: non-coding RNA, 103 nt
Organism: Pelobates cultripes (western spadefoot toad)
Lineage: Eukaryota; Metazoa; Chordata; Amphibia; Anura; Pelobatidae
Source: the annotation of a GenBank genome assembly
AUGUGCAAUAAGGUAAGAGCCGUUUUUGUGUAUGUGUGUGUGUGUAUAUAUAUAUACACACACACACACACACACACAUACACAAAAACGGCUCUUACCUUAC